This 1505-nucleotide ribosomal RNA is filed under the name Reithrodontomys mexicanus (Mexican harvest mouse). RNAcentral's name for it is "16S ribosomal RNA". It matches the Rfam family "Bacterial large subunit ribosomal RNA", at positions 187 to 2818 of the family's 2925-position model. Lineage: Eukaryota; Metazoa; Chordata; Mammalia; Rodentia; Cricetidae. The record is from RNAcentral.
CAUAAAAUAAAACAUUUACAAAAUAGAAGUAUUGGAGAAAGAAACUUUUCACAGGAGCUAUAGAGAUCAGUACCGCAAGGGAAAAUAAAUUCAAAACAUAAGCACAAAUAAGCAAAGAUUAAACCUUGUACCUUUUGCAUAAUGAAUUAACUAGAAACUUCCUAACUAAGAGAACUUUAGCUAGAAACCCCGAAACCAAACGAGCUACCUAAAAGCAAUUUUUAGAAUGAACCCAUCUAUGUAGCAAAAUAGUGGGAAGACUCUUAGGUAGAGGCGAAAAACCUACCGAGCUUGGUGAUAGCUGGUUACCCAAUUAUGAAUUUAAGUUCAACUUUAAGAUUACUAUAAGAAUAAAAAUCUAAACGUAAACUUAAAACAUAGCCUAAAGAGGGACAGCUCUUUAGGAACGGAAAAACCUUAAAUAGUGAGUAAGCCAAACACUAAAAAACCAUCGUUGGCCUAAAAGCAGCCACCAAUAAAGAAAGCGUUCAAGCUCAACACUCCAAACACAAAAAUACCAAAAUUAUUAAGCAAACUCCUACUAAACAAAAUUGGGUUAAUCUAUUAAUAUAUAGAUGAAAUACUGUUAAUAUGAGUAACAAGAAUUUUAUUCUCCAUGCACAAAACUAUAACAACCCGGAUAACCAUUGUUAGUUAACAACCACAAGGUAACUACUCUUCACAUAAAAUUUACCUACCAAAACAUGUUAACCCAACACAGGGGUGCAUAAUGGAAAGAUUAAAAGAAAUAAAAGGAACUCGGCAAACAUAAACCCCGCCUGUUUACCAAAAACAUCACCUCUAGCAUAAUAAGUAUUAGAGGCACUGCCUGCCCAGUGACUAACGUUUAACGGCCGCGGUAUCCUGACCGUGCAAAGGUAGCAUAAUCACUUGUUCCUUAAUUAGGGACUAGAAUGAACGGCUUAACGAGGGUCUAACUGUCUCUUAUUUCCAAUCAGUGAAAUUGACCUCCCCGUGAAGAGGCGGGGAUACAAAAACAAGACGAGAAGACCCUAUGGAGCUUUAAUUUACCAACUUAAAUUUAUGUAAUAAACACUCCUACUGGAUUAAACACAAAAAAAUUAAGUUCAAAUUUUGGUUGGGGUGACCUCGGAGAAUAAAAAAACCUCCGAACGAUUUUAGUUACGACAAACAAGUCUAAACAACUUUAAUCUAAUUGACCCAAAACUUCUUUGAUCAACGGACCAAGUUACCCUAGGGAUAACAGCGCAAUCCUAUUCAAGAGUCCAUAUCGACAAUUAGGGUUUACGACCUCGAUGUUGGAUCAGGACAUCCCAAUGGUGUAGAAGCUAUUAAUGGUUCGUUUGUUCAACGAUUAAAGUCCUACGUGAUCUGAGUUCAGACCGGAGCAAUCCAGGUCGGUUUCUAUCUGUUAACGAUUUCUCCCAGUACGAAAGGAUAAGAGAAAUAGAGCCCCCUUUAACAAAGAGCUCUAAAACUAACCAAUGAAAUUAUCUCAACACUGUAAAUUCGUAAAAUCCUGC